RNAcentral lists this non-coding RNA (268 nucleotides) under Heyndrickxia sporothermodurans. RNAcentral's name for it is "Bacillus sporothermodurans T-box sequence". It matches the Rfam family "T-box leader". From Rfam's summary of the family: Uncharged tRNA acts as the effector for transcription antitermination of genes in the T-box leader family. T-boxes are found upstream of many aminoacyl-tRNA synthetase genes and some amino acid biosynthetic genes usually in Gram-positive bacteria. The record is from RNAcentral. Lineage: Bacteria; Bacillati; Bacillota; Bacilli; Caryophanales; Bacillaceae.
UUAAAAACUACGAAGAGAAAAGUAAGAUUUAAUCAUUUUUUUAAAGAGAGCCUCGGGAGCUGAAAAGAAGCAAAAAAUGUAAAUCUGAAAAAUGGCCUCUGAGUUUCGUGCUGAACGUAUCAAUUGAUAUUAGUAGGUUCCGACGAGAGUUGGUACUCGUUAUCCAUACCACAGUAUAAAAGUUUAAGCUUGAGUACUUGUCGAGGCUGUAUGUGUGAGCAUGCAGUAAAGUAAGGUGGUACCACGUUGAUUCAACCACGUCCUUAUC